Molecule: small RNA, 168 nt
Filed under: Thiobacillus sp.
Lineage: Bacteria; Pseudomonadati; Pseudomonadota; Betaproteobacteria; Nitrosomonadales; Thiobacillaceae
Also listed under: 1 other name
Description: Manganese sequence
Rfam family: Manganese Mn2+ riboswitch aptamer (yybP-ykoY)
About the family: This RNA was originally discovered in E. coli during a large scale screen and was named SraF. The family was later found to exist upstream of related families of protein genes in many bacteria, including the the yybP and ykoK genes in B. subtilis.
Source: RNAcentral
CGCACCGUCAUGGGGGAGUAGCCGCUCUUCGUCAGAAGAGGCUUGCGUCAACAUGCUUGGCCUUCGGGCCAUGGCGCAGGCAGUCCCGAACCUGGCAAGACCUUUGACCACGAUGCUUCCGACAGGCCGGCGGCGUCGCGGUCAAUCGUCCGUCGCCGGCCCGGGAUC